RNAcentral lists this ribosomal RNA (497 nucleotides) under uncultured bacterium. Its description in RNAcentral is "partial 16S ribosomal RNA". It matches the Rfam family "Bacterial small subunit ribosomal RNA", at positions 28 to 507 of the family's 1533-position model. The record is from RNAcentral.
GACGAACGCUGGCGGCGUGCCUAAUACAUGCAAGUUGAGCGCUGAAGGUUGGUACUUGUACCAACUGGAUGAGCAGCGAACGGGUGAGUAACGCGUGGGGAAUCUGCCUUUGAGCGGGGGACAACAUUUGGAAACGAAUGCUAAUACCGCAUAAAAACUUUAAACACAAGUUUUAAGUUUGAAAGAUGCAAUUGCAUCACUCAAAGAUGAUCCCGCGUUGUAUUAGCUAGUUGGUGAGGUAAAGGCCCACCAAGGCGAGGAUACAUAGCCGACCUGAGAGGGAGAUCGGCCACAUUGGGACUGAGACACGGCCCAAACUCCUACGGGAGGCAGCAGUAGGGAAUCUUCGGCAAUGGACGAAAGUCUGACCGAGCAACGCCGCGUGAGUGAAGAAGGGUUUCGGAUCGUAAAACUCUGUUGGUAGAGAAGAACGUUGGUGAGAGUGGAAAGCUCAUCAAGUGACGGUAACUACACAGAAAGGGACGGCUAACUACGUG